This is a non-coding RNA of Oncorhynchus mykiss (rainbow trout), 1487 nucleotides long. NCBI's taxonomy places the organism in Eukaryota, Metazoa, Chordata, Actinopteri, Salmoniformes, Salmonidae. The record is from RefSeq and is a predicted model, not a curated record.
UCAACUCAGUGGCCCUGCCCAUGUGAACAGACAUUGGUUAUAAACUAUGAAACACGCCCUUCUCUCCCCUCCUAUAUAAAGCCCUUGACGAAAAUGUAACUUUCUGUUCCGAGGAUGUUAGGGCGACAGUCCUACGUUAAAAGGGCUCAGAUAAUAAGCUGUUCCAAGGACGUGUGGACUUGAGGUCCCCACGUUGAAAGGACAAAGACCACCUACCGAACUAAGCCAACCUUAGAGAACCUAACGAAAUUAGCAUUGAAUUUCAAUGUGAAUGUGACAACCUACACCCCGGAAGGAUGAAUUUUGACUAUACCAGCCAGAAUAUAGCAUGAGCUUAAAAGUAUGGCAACUUUUCUCUGAAGAAGCACGAAUUGUGCAAAACGUCAGGAUUUAAAAAACAUUUUUUUUUAGAGUUCAUAGUUCACUUUGAACUCUUAUUCACUCCAGAAGUGAUACCUCCUAGCCGUUGAGUUAGCAGCAGUCGCUAAACAUGGGCUUGGAGAGGACGGACAGAGUAUCCAUUCUACCACGCUCCAGUUCACCACUAGACAUUCUUCAGAGGGCCAGAGAUCCAUAAAAGACAAACCGGCCUUCCAUUGACAACCAAUCUACUGAAGCGCAGCUCAGAACCAUGAUUCCUGGAACAAUCCCUGUGAAGUCGGAAUGCUAGAAAACGGGUGAUGAGUCCUUCUACGUAAACCCUGCAGAUGGCUACUUAAAAUUCCUAACCUUGACGCAGCAGAAGCAUAGAGAAUUCCUUAAGGGAGGUAACAUUUUCUUCUCAUCACCGUGCAAGAUAUCUCCAAGUCUGCGUUUUACCAACUCCCUGCCCUGUCCCAAAUGGUCACCACAGAACUUAAUUUCAAACCCAAACAACCGUGAUGAAGGCCCAUGCGCCACAGAGUAAGAAAGAUUGGAUCAAGGACAGAUUAGCAUAUAUUUGAUCAAUUCCAAUAUUUGUGCUUAGGUAAAUAUUGUAUGUAUUUAUUUGAUUUAAAAUCAGUAUGUCCGUGGUCAUUAUGUUAUAUAGGUUAAUUGAACUGUAUUAUGUUCUAUAUUUAUGGUAAACAUCUUGCCCACCUAAAUGCCAUCCUGAGACAGAUUAUGCCUAUUAUAAUUUAUUACGACGAUAGGCCAGUAUUGAUAGCAAGCAUUACAUCUAGUAACCUUUGACCACACUCUCCUUAUCCUGCUUCAGUAUGUGAUAACAUGUCCUAUGUUUAUUUAUAAUCUUAACGAACCACUGACUGUAAUUCUGUCCUAAAACACACACUUUGCAUAAUACUGGUUGUAUAUUUUAUGAGUUGAAAGAGCUACAAAUUGGGUGAUUUGUUUAGUUCCCCUAUGACAGUGUAAAUUAUAAUAUCCUCAGUAUAGGUCAUUAGUCCAGUAAAAACGAUAGGUUUGUCCCAUUUAUCUGCAUAUUUUAAUAUUCAAAUAAACAGAUUUAUGAAAUAUUCUUCCAUAAUGUUAUGCAUUUGACUCCG